This 458-nucleotide ribosomal RNA is filed under the name uncultured bacterium. RNAcentral's name for it is "partial 16S ribosomal RNA". It matches the Rfam family "Bacterial small subunit ribosomal RNA", at positions 338 to 795 of the family's 1533-position model. The record is from RNAcentral.
CCUACGGGGGGCUGCAGUGAGGAAUAUUGGUCAAUGGGCGAGAGCCUGAACCAGCCAAGUCGCGUGAGGGAGUACUGCCCUAUGGGUUGUAAACCUCUUUUGUCGGGGAGCAAAAGCCGGACGUGUCCGGCUGUGAGAGUACCCGAAGAAAAAGCAUCGGCUAACUCCGUGCCAGCAGCCGCGGUAAUACGGAGGAUGCGAGCGUUAUCCGGAUUUAUUGGGUUUAAAGGGGGCGCAGGCGGGUUUUUAAGUCAGCGGUAAAAUCGUGGGGCUCAACCCCAUCCAGCCGUUGAAACUGGGGAUCUAGAGUGUGCGAGAGGUAUGCGGAAUGCGUGGUGUAGCGGUGAAAUGCAUAGAUAUCACGCAGAACCCCGAUUGCGAAGGCAGCAUACCGGUGCACAACUGACGCUCAGGCACGAAAGCGUGGGUAUCGAACAGGAUUAGAUACCCUAGUAGUC